RNAcentral lists this non-coding RNA (194 nucleotides) under Kibdelosporangium phytohabitans. Lineage: Bacteria; Bacillati; Actinomycetota; Actinomycetes; Pseudonocardiales; Pseudonocardiaceae. The record is from RNAcentral.
ACUACAUGUAGGGUCUGCGUCGUCGAUGCGACAAGGGAACCCGGUGCGAGUCCGGGACUGCCCCGCAGCGGUGAGCGGGAACGACCGCCGUCAUUGAAGCACUGGGCGCGAGCCUGGGAAGCGACGGCCAGUAGGUCCGGGUUGACGCCCGGGUGCCCGCGAGUCCGAAGACCUGUCGCCGACGCGUGCGCCGG